GACCUGAGUCAGAAGAAAUAAGGAGAAGAGGAACGGGACUACUCUUUCGGGACUAAUCUUUGUUCCUUGCUAUUGUUGCUUAGCUUCUCCAUAUUCUUCUUGAUAGAUCGGCGCUCGAGAGGCAGAGUCUCAAGGAACCAAGCAUCUUCAAGUAUUAUACUUCUCCUCUGCUUCGGCAGGGUCUGAGUCGUUUCUAUUUGUAUUAUUGGUGGUUGGUUGUUGCCAUGUUUCAUGGAUGAGACAGAAGAGCCCCGUCGACGGGUACUUAGAUUAAGUAGGAUGCACGAUCUAGAAUUCUCGAUUUUUCUUUUCGGAGAAGCAUCGAUUGAGUUCGAUCGUCUUAGUUGUCGUCCUACCGCGGUAUAUUCCUAAACGCUGUGUAGGUCCUAUGGGCCUAUUAUCACUUGGGUAAAACCAUACCGCAGACAUUU
RNAcentral lists this small nucleolar RNA (431 nucleotides) under Lachancea fermentati. Its description in RNAcentral is "Small nucleolar RNA snR30". It matches the Rfam family "Small nucleolar RNA snR30". The record is from Rfam by way of RNAcentral. Lineage: Eukaryota; Fungi; Ascomycota; Saccharomycetes; Saccharomycetales; Saccharomycetaceae.